This 497-nucleotide ribosomal RNA is filed under the name uncultured bacterium. RNAcentral describes it as "partial 16S ribosomal RNA". It matches the Rfam family "Bacterial small subunit ribosomal RNA", at positions 28 to 507 of the family's 1533-position model. The record is from RNAcentral.
GAUGAACGCUGGCGGCGUGCCUAAUACAUGCAAGUCGAGCGAACAGACGAGGAGCUUGCUCCUUUGACGUUAGCGGCGGACGGGUGAGUAACACGUGGAUAACCUACCUAUAAGACUGGGAUAACUUCGGGAAACCGGAGCUAAUACCGGAUAACAUGUUGAACCGCAUGGUUCAACAGUGAAAGACGGUCUUGCUGUCACUUAUAGAUGGAUCCGCGCCGCAUUAGCUAGUUGGUAAGGUAACGGCUUACCAAGGCAACGAUGCGUAGCCGACCUGAGAGGGUGGUCAGCCCCACUUGGACUGCGACACGGUUCCGACUCCUACGGGUGGCCAGCGUGGGGAAUCUUCCGCAAAGGGGGUAAACCUAACGGCACAACGCCACGUGGGGUGAGAAGGUCUUCGGAUUGUUAAAACCUUUUAUUAGGGAAGAACAAAUGUGUAAGUAACUAUGCACGUCUUGACGGUACCUAAUCAGAAAGCCACGGCUAACUACGUG